GAUGAACGCUGGCGGCGUGCCUAAUACAUGCAAGUCGAGCGAACAGAUGAGGAGCUUGCUCCUCUGACGUUAGCGGCGGACGGGUGAGUAACACGUGGAUAACCUACCUAUAAGACUGGGAUAACUUCGGGAAACCGGAGCUAAUACCGGAUAAUAUAUUGAACCGCAUGGUUCAAUAGUGAAAGACGGUUUUGCUGUCACUUAUAGAUGGAUCCGCGCCGCAUUAGCUAGUUGGUAAGGUAACGGCUUACCAAGGCGACGAUGCGUAGCCGACCUGAGAGGGUGAUCGGCCACACUGGAACUGAGACACGGUCCAGACUCCUACGGGAGGCAGCAGUAGGGAAUCUUCCGCAAUGGGCGAAAGCCUGACGGAGCAACGCCGCGUGAGUGAUGAAGGUCUUCGGAUCGUAAAACUCUGUUAUUAGGGAAGAACAAAUGUGUAAGUAACUAUGCACGUCUUGACGGUACCUAAUCAGAAAGCCACGGCUAACUUCGUG
This 497-nucleotide ribosomal RNA is filed under the name uncultured bacterium. RNAcentral describes it as "partial 16S ribosomal RNA". It matches the Rfam family "Bacterial small subunit ribosomal RNA", at positions 28 to 507 of the family's 1533-position model. The record is from RNAcentral.